UGGGGAAUAUUGCACAAUGGGGGAAACCCUGAUGCAGCGACGCCGCGUGAGCGAAGAAGUAUUUCGGUAUGUAAAGCUCUAUCAGCAGGGAAGAAAAUGACGGUACCUGAGUAAGAAGCCCCGGCUAACUACGUGCCAGCAGCCGCGGUAAUACGUAGGGGGCAAGCGUUAUCCGGAUUUACUGGGUGUAAAGGGAGCGUAGACGGCGGGGCAAGUCUGAUGUGAAAACCCGGGGCUCAACUCCUGGACUGCAUUGGAAACUGCCGGGCUUGAGUGCCGGAGGGGUAAGCGGAAUUCCUAGUGUAGCGGUGAAAUGCGUAGAUAUUAGGAGGAACACCAGUGGCGAAGGCGGCUUACUGGACGGUAACUGACGUUGAGGCUCGAAAGCGUGGGGAGCAAACAGGAUUAGAUACC
This 414-nucleotide ribosomal RNA is filed under the name uncultured bacterium. Its description in RNAcentral is "bacterial SSU rRNA". It matches the Rfam family "Bacterial small subunit ribosomal RNA", at positions 355 to 786 of the family's 1533-position model. The record is from RNAcentral.